GAGGAAGAGGGCGGCGGCAGUGGUGGUGACUGAGCGGAGCCCGGUGACAGGAUGGCUGGGCACAGAUUGGUGUUGGUAUUAGGAGAUCUGCACAUCCCACACCGGUGCAACAGUUUGCCAGCUAAAUUCAAAAAACUCCUGGUGCCAGGAAAAAUUCAGCACAUUCUCUGCACAGGAAACCUUUGCACCAAAGAGAGUUAUGACUAUCUCAAGACUCUGGCUGGUGAUGUUCAUAUUGUGAGAGGAGACUUUGAUGAGAAACAUUAUUCCAUCAUUUGUGUUGAUGGAUAUCCAGGCUUCCACAGUGGUCACCUAUGUGUAUCAGCUAAUUGGAGAUGAUGUGAAAGUAGAACGAAUUGAAUACAAAAAAUCUUAAAGCCAGGCCUGUCUUGAUGAUUUUUUUUUUCAUUGUCCUGUUGAAAUCAAGUAAUUAAACAUUUAAGAGCCACAAAAUUGUAUCACUUUUAUAAUAUUUUGCAAUAAAAUAUAAUACCAUCUUCUCUGUUAAUACAUAAUUGCUGUAAGCUUCCUGUAAACUAUAAGAAUAUAUUUAGUUUAUAGUAUAUGAAUUCUAUGAAAAAAUGUCCACAACACAGUAAUUGGUCACUUGUUAAGAAAAAUUUAUCCUUGUAAAUAUCUUCAAAGUUGGUAUUUGGAACUUUAUUCCAAAAGUAGUGCAUGUGGAGAAAGAAUUUAGACUAUCUUGUAUACAUUUUUCUCUUCUCUAGUAAUAAACAAUUACCUUUCAUUUAUACUUUCUUGAUAACCUGUAUUUAAUUUUAAAAAACAUAAAAAUGAGGAACCAAGUGAAACUACGCAUAUAAAUAUUAAAGUGAAGUGGACGAGAUGACCUUUCAAAAA
This is an RNA transcript of Rhinopithecus roxellana (golden snub-nosed monkey), 861 nucleotides long. It is a transcript of the gene named vacuolar protein sorting-associated protein 29 pseudogene, with no coding region annotated. The record is from RefSeq and is a predicted model, not a curated record. Lineage: Eukaryota; Metazoa; Chordata; Mammalia; Primates; Cercopithecidae. The transcript has a single exon.